RNAcentral lists this ribosomal RNA (253 nucleotides) under uncultured bacterium. Its description in RNAcentral is "partial 16S ribosomal RNA". It matches the Rfam family "Bacterial small subunit ribosomal RNA", at positions 524 to 776 of the family's 1533-position model. The record is from RNAcentral.
UACGUAGGGUGCGAGCGUUAAUCGGAAUUACUGGGCGUAAAGCGUGCGCAGGCGGUUCGUUAAGUCAGAUGUGAAAGCCCCGGGCUCAACCUGGGAACUGCAUUUGAAACUGGCGGGCUUGAGUAUGGCAGAGGGGGGUGGAAUUCUGCGUGUAGCAGUGAAAUGCGUAGAGAUGCGGAGGAACACCGAUGGCGAAGGCAGCCCCCUGGGCCAACACUGACGCUCAGGCACGAAAGCGUGGGGAGCAAACAGG